AUUUGUUGGACGAUUUAAGUCUCGUAAAGAACGAGAAGCUGAACUUGGAGCUAGGGCAAAAGAAUUCACCAAUGUUUACAUCAAGAAUUUUGGAGAAGACAUGGAUGAUGAGCGCCUUAAGGAUCUCUUUGGCAAGUUUGGGCCUGCCUUAAGUGUGAAAGUAAUGACUGAUGAAAGUGGAAAAUCCAAAGGAUUUGGAUUUGUAAGCUUUGAAAGGCAUGAAGAUGCACAGAAAGCUGUGGAUGAGAUGAACGGAAAGGAGCUCAACGGAAAACAAAUUUACGUUGGUCGAGCUCAGAAAAAGGUGGAACGGCAGACGGAACUUAAGCGCAAAUUUGAACAGAUGAAGCAAGAUAGGAUCACCAGAUACCAGGGUGUUAAUCUUUAUGUGAAAAAUCUUGAUGAUGGUAUUGAUGAUGAACGUCUCCGGAAAGAGUUUUCUCCAUUUGGUACAAUCACUAGUGCAAAGGUUAUGAUGGAGGGUGGUCGCAGCAAAGGGUUUGGUUUUGUAUGUUUCUCCUCCCCAGAAGAAGCCACUAAAGCAGUUACAGAAAUGAACGGUAGAAUUGUGGCCACAAAGCCAUUGUAUGUAGCUUUAGCUCAGCGCAAAGAAGAGCGCCAGGCUCACCUCACUAACCAGUAUAUGCAGAGAAUGGCAAGUGUACGAGCUGUGCCCAACCCUGUAAUCAACCCCUACCAGCCAGCACCUCCUUCAGGUUACUUCAUGGCAGCUAUCCCACAGUAUAAAUAUGCUGCAGGAGUUCGCAAUCC
Molecule: small RNA, 771 nt
Filed under: Pongo abelii (Sumatran orangutan)
Lineage: Eukaryota; Metazoa; Chordata; Mammalia; Primates; Hominidae
Description: processed transcript
Source: RNAcentral